GUAAACACAACAACUCCCUCUCUUUUUCUCUCUUUUCUGGCGACACACAAACCAGCGGAGCCGGCCGGUGCACGGCGGAGCCGCGACGGUGCUCCGGUGACCUCUUUUUGGCGUGUGACGGCGCGCGUACCCCCCUAAAAAGCACCUCCCGAGUAUGAAUCCAGCACUAGUUCCUCAAUCGGAGCAGUGGAGGUGAUGGUUCUGGUCACUGGCAGCCGUGGUUCGAGGACUUCGCUCCGGGAUGGUGGCUGUUGGGUGGUCGACGGCGACGGUGGGGGUGACUGACGGCGGCGGCAGUCGCCGGAGCUAUGAAGAGGACGAUGACAAAUUAUGGUGGUUGUUCACAGCUCGGGUUUGGGUAUAGGGCUCCGGAUUCGUGUUCGGAUUCAAGAUUUUUCUAUUGGUUCAGACUUCGACUCUGCUUGGGGUUCAUUUUCAGCCGGUUCGGGUCAGGAAAACAACCGAGACAAACCUCAGUUUCGGUCAACUCACGGUUCGGUUUUGGUCUCGGUUCAGGCUACGAGUUGGGUAUGGUUCAGCAGGUACAGGUUCGGGCUCGGUCAAGACAAGUCAAACUGGUCAAUGGUUCGGUUCGGUCAACAUAAGUCAGCGGCGGUUUGGUUCGUGGUUCGGGUCGACUCGGUCAAACCGAGUUGACUCGGUCAAACCUGGUCAAACUAGUGAGUUGACUCGGUCAACUCAGCUAACUUUUUUCGUUGUUUCGAACACGAAGAUUCGAUAAAGGAUUUAGAAUGAAUAUUAUUUACGUUAAUUAUUCCCUAUGUUUAUUACGUGAUAACGAGCUCGAACCGAUUGAUUAUAGUUUACUUUUGAUAUAUUUAACAAAAUUAUUUAUA
Long non-coding RNA from Helianthus annuus (common sunflower), 857 nucleotides. RefSeq lists it as uncharacterized. NCBI's taxonomy places the organism in Eukaryota, Viridiplantae, Streptophyta, Magnoliopsida, Asterales, Asteraceae. The transcript has 2 exons. The record is from RefSeq and is a predicted model, not a curated record.